Non-coding RNA from Beta vulgaris subsp. vulgaris (sugar beet), 253 nucleotides. The record is from Rfam. Lineage: Eukaryota; Viridiplantae; Streptophyta; Magnoliopsida; Caryophyllales; Amaranthaceae.
AGGAAGUGAAGAGAGCUUUCUUCGGUCCACUCACGGGAAGGGUUGGGAUUUAUCUUGCUGUCGACUCAUUCAUCCCACCUACUUUGCGUGUGCAUACAUAUUUGAGGAUCAGGGUAGAAAGUAAUUUUCCAACUAAGCUAGAUUGCAUCCAAGAACGCGUCGCGCGCAAAGUAACUGAGUGAAUGAUGCGAGAGUCAAGUUGGAUCUUAAGCUUCCUGUACUUGGACUGAAGGGAGCUCCCUUAUCUCUAUUU